AGCUAUAAGGGCAGCUUAAUUUCGACUUAAGUGUUGGAUUUAGUAGUGAAAUUC
This 54-nucleotide transfer RNA is filed under the name Argiope amoena. RNAcentral describes it as "tRNA-Arg". Lineage: Eukaryota; Metazoa; Arthropoda; Arachnida; Araneae; Araneidae. The record is from RNAcentral.